RNAcentral lists this long non-coding RNA (888 nucleotides) under Lotus japonicus. RNAcentral's name for it is "long non-coding RNA (LJAP_LNC001474)". Lineage: Eukaryota; Viridiplantae; Streptophyta; Magnoliopsida; Fabales; Fabaceae. The record is from RNAcentral.
UAGUUUAUCAUUUUGAAGCCAAAAUUAGUUUAAAACUAGGUCACAGAGAUCCUACAGAAUCUAACUUCAGAAUAUCUCUAAGAGGAACUCUUGCGCUUUGUGCAGCAUUCAUACAUCAAGUGAGUUUUUCAUAGUUCAUAAUUUUGUAGUCUUCUAGGAUCAUAUGCUCGCUUAGUGAAGUAUCAAGAGCUGCAAAAUACAUAACAAGAACUUUGGAUCAAUACCCUACAUUGCUAGGCCAAUUGGUAUUUCAUAAUUUUGAAGUCCAUUAAUUAUAGUAGCACUGGAACCACCAUGAAAUGUAAUUGACGUUUUACUGAUAAGCGUAUUUAUAAGAUAGGAUUAUGGCAUUCAUUGAUUUUGGAGAAUUUAACCAAGUAUCCUACUUUGCGGACAUAGUUGGUUUCAGUCUUUCAGAGUGGAGCUCUUCAGUAUUAGUAUUGUUUUGUCUUUAUUUUUCUUUUUGAUGUAUAUUAUCCUUCUUCUAUGUGUAAAGUCGUCAUUCACAUAGCUUUCAUUAAGGGUUUUCCUUUGAAAGUAAAAGGUUUGAAGAUAAAUUUAUUAAUAUAUCAAAUAAAAUCAUUUACCCUAGACCGUGAUGUUUUAUUCAAUUAUUGUGAUAAAUGUGAAUUGUGCUUCAUUAUCAUGUCAUGAUUUUUGUUUAUCAUUUUGAAGCCAAAAUUAGUUUAAAACUAGGUCACAGAGAUCCUACAGAAUCUAACUUCAGAAUAUCUCUAAGAGGAACUCUUGCGCUUUGUGCAGCAUUCAUACAUCAAGUGAGUUUUUCAUAGUUCAUAAUUUUGUAGUCUUCUAGGAUCAUAUGCUCGCUUAGUGAAGUAUCAAGAGCUGCAAAAUACAUAACAAGAACUUUGGAUCAAUACCCUACAU